GAUGAACGCUAGCGGCAGGCUUAAUACAUGCAAGUUGAGGGGCAGCAUGAUAUACGCGAGUAUAUUGAUGGCGACCGGCGGACGGGUGAGUAAUAGGUAGGAGACCUACUCAUACAGGGGGAGUAGCAUAGAGAAAUCUGUGGUAAUACCCCAUGAGGUUAUAUGAAUAGAGGCAUAUAAUCAAAGCAUAAGCGAUUAUGCGGUAUGAGAGGGGCCUACUGACCAUUAGCUAGUUGGUGAGGUAAGGGCUCACCAAGGCGAAGAUGGUUAGGGGUUUUGAGAGAGAGACCCCCCACAUUGGAACUGAGAGACGGUCCAGACUCCUACGGGAGGCAGCAGUAGGGAAUAUUGGGCAAUGGGCGAAAGCCUGACCCAGCCAUGCCGCGUGAAGGAAGACGGCCUUAUGGGUUAGUAAACUUCUUUACUACGCGAAUAGAGGUUAGUACGAGAUACUAAUAGGAAGGUAUGUAGUAAAAGCACCGGCUAACUCCGUG
This 494-nucleotide ribosomal RNA is filed under the name uncultured bacterium. RNAcentral describes it as "bacterial SSU rRNA". It matches the Rfam family "Bacterial small subunit ribosomal RNA", at positions 28 to 507 of the family's 1533-position model. The record is from RNAcentral.